GUCUGUGUAAUUUAUGAAAAAUAGCGGUCUUGUAAGCCGCCAAUAGGCCCACCCUCGUAGACA
This 63-nucleotide transfer RNA is filed under the name Pollicipes pollicipes. Its description in RNAcentral is "tRNA-Thr". Lineage: Eukaryota; Metazoa; Arthropoda; Thecostraca; Pollicipedomorpha; Pollicipedidae. The record is from RNAcentral.